Octopus sinensis (East Asian common octopus) is the source of this 305-nucleotide long non-coding RNA. RefSeq lists it as uncharacterized. Lineage: Eukaryota; Metazoa; Mollusca; Cephalopoda; Octopoda; Octopodidae. The transcript has 3 exons. The record is from RefSeq and is a predicted model, not a curated record.
UUUUAGCUCGCAGUGUGAAAGAGUCUACAAAAUCAUUAAAAAGGAAGUUUUGUACUUGGAGGAAACAUGACUCUUCAAACUAAAGAAAUACCCAACAUGCAGCGAACUAUUACCUGGAAAAAUGUGAAUGAAAGCUUUCAAUGUGAUAGAACAUGUUAUAAAUCUGGCAGAGUAGAAGUUCAGCAGAGUGGUAAUACAUCCACUAUUUUGAUAAAAUAUAUAUCACAGGCAGAUGUGGAUUGGACUUUCCAUGACAAGAAAACUCGCUAUGCAAGGAUUUCUUUGAAGGAAGAAGGCUGGCAAUG